RNAcentral lists this ribosomal RNA (460 nucleotides) under uncultured bacterium. RNAcentral's name for it is "partial 16S ribosomal RNA". It matches the Rfam family "Bacterial small subunit ribosomal RNA", at positions 338 to 795 of the family's 1533-position model. The record is from RNAcentral.
CCUACGGGUGGCAGCAGUGAGGAAUAUUGGUCAAUGGGAGAAAUCCUGAACCAGCCAAGCCGCGUGCAGGACGACGGCUCUACGGGUUGUAAACUUCUUUUGUACCGGAGUAAAAUGCUCUACGUGUGCGUUUUUGCAAGUACUUUACGAAUAAGGAUCGGCUAACUCCGUGCCAGCAGCCGCGGUAAUACGGAGGAUCCGAGCGUUAUCCGGAUUCAUUGGGUUUAAAGGGAGCGUAGAUGGUUUUAUAAGUCAGUUGUGAAAUAUUGAUGCUCAACAGUGGGGUUGCCGCUGAUACUGGCAGACUAGAGAACAGAUGAGGUAGGCGGAAUGUGUAGUGUAGCGGUGAAAUGCAUAGAUAUUACGCAGAACACCGAUUGCGAAGGCAGCUUGCUAGGCCGGAACUGACAUUGAUGCACGAAAGUGUGGGGAUCGAACAGGAUUAGAUACCCUUGUAGUC